GGAAAUUGAACUUAAAUCCUUAAUCGUUUGCUAGAUUUUUCUUGUGAGUGACCUGGCAGAGAUUGAUCGAGGAAUUGUAUUUCC
This 84-nucleotide microRNA precursor is filed under the name Oryza sativa (Asian cultivated rice). RNAcentral's name for it is "miR5820 stem-loop (osa-MIR5820)". Lineage: Eukaryota; Viridiplantae; Streptophyta; Magnoliopsida; Poales; Poaceae. The record is from miRBase by way of RNAcentral.